AUUGAACGCUGGCGGCAGGCUUAACACAUGCAAGUCGAGCGGUAACAGGAAGAAGCUUGCUUCUUUGCUGACGAGCGGCGGACGGGUGAGUAAUGCCUAGGAAUCUGCCUGGUAGUGGGGGAUAACUUGCCGAAAGGUAAGCUAAUACCGCAUACGUCCUACGGGAGAAAGCAGGGGAGCCUUCGGGUCCUUGCGCUAUUAGAUGAGCCUAGGUCGGAUUAGCUAGUUGGUGGGGUAACGGCCUACCAAGGCCUCGAUAGGUAGCCGGCCUGAGAGGGUGAACGGCCACACUGGAACUGAGACACGGUCCAAACUCCUACGGGAGGCAGCAGUGGGGAAUAUUGCACAAUGGAGGAAACUCUGAUGCAGCGACGCCGCGUGAAUGAUGAAGCCUUCGGGUCGUAAAGUUCUGUCCUUGGGGAAGAAACGGACGGUACCCAAGGAGGAAGCCCCGGCUAACUACGUGCCAGCAGCCGCGGUAAUACGUANGGGGCGAGCGUUGUCCGGAAUUAUUGGCGUAAAGGGUUCGCAGCGGUCUUUUAGUCAGAUGUGAAAUACAUAGGCUCA
Molecule: ribosomal RNA, 567 nt
Filed under: uncultured bacterium
Lineage: Bacteria
Description: bacterial SSU rRNA
Rfam family: Bacterial small subunit ribosomal RNA
Source: RNAcentral